GAUGAACGCUAGCGGCAGGCUUAACACAUGCAAGUCGAGGGACGGUAGCAAUACUGGACCGGCAAACGGGUGCGGAACACGUACGCAACAUACCCUGAACUGGGGCAUAGCCUUCUGAAAAGGAGAUUAAUACCCCAUAAGAUAACUAGAGUGGCAUCACUUAGUUAUUAAAGAUUUAUUGGUUCAGGAUUGGCGUGCGUCCUAUUAGCUAGUUGGUAAGGGUAACGGCCUACCAAGGCGACGAUAGGUAGCUGGUGUGAGAGCACGACCAGCCACACGGGCGACUGAGACACGGGCCCGACUCCUACGGGAGGCAGCAGGUGAGGAAUAUUGGUCAAUGGAGGCAACUCUGAACCAG
Molecule: ribosomal RNA, 358 nt
Filed under: uncultured bacterium
Lineage: Bacteria
Description: bacterial SSU rRNA
Rfam family: Bacterial small subunit ribosomal RNA
Source: RNAcentral